UGGGGAAUCUUCCGCAAUGGGCGCAAGCCUGACGGAGCAACGCCGCGUGAGUGAAGAAGGCUUUCGGGUUGUAAAACUCUGUCUUCAGGGAAGAAGAAAGUGACGGUACCUGAGGAGGAAGCCCCGGCUAACUACGUGCCAGCAGCCGCGGUAAAACGUAGGGGGCGAGCGUUGUCCGGAAUUACUGGGCGUAAAGGGCGCGUAGGCGGUUUCUUAAGUCAGAGGUGAAAACUACCGGCUUAACCGGUAGCCUGCCUUUGAAACUGGGGAACUUGAGGGCAGGAGAGGGGAGUGGAAUUCCCAGUGUAGCGGUGAAAUGCGUAGAUAUUGGGAGGAACACCAGUGGCGAAGGCGGCUCUCUGGCCUGUUUCUGACGCUGAGGCGCGAAAGCGUGGGGAGCAAACGG
This 406-nucleotide ribosomal RNA is filed under the name uncultured bacterium. Its description in RNAcentral is "bacterial SSU rRNA". It matches the Rfam family "Bacterial small subunit ribosomal RNA", at positions 355 to 775 of the family's 1533-position model. The record is from RNAcentral.